GGGUGUGAUCAUUCCAGCACUAAUGCACCGGAUCGCAUCAGAACCCUACAGUUAAGGGUGCUUGAGCGAGAGAAGUAUUAGGAUGGGUCACUUCCGGGGAAGUCCUCGUGUUGCACCCC
Gossypium arboreum is the source of this 119-nucleotide ribosomal RNA. Lineage: Eukaryota; Viridiplantae; Streptophyta; Magnoliopsida; Malvales; Malvaceae. The record is from Rfam.